GCCCCGUUGGUCUAGUGGUUUAGGAUACCGGACUUUCAAUCCGUGUGAACGUCGGUUCGAAUCCGACACGGGGUA
RNAcentral lists this transfer RNA (75 nucleotides) under Streptomyces sp. JV178. RNAcentral's name for it is "tRNA-Glu". It matches the Rfam family "tRNA". Rfam says of the family: Transfer RNA (tRNA) molecules are approximately 80 nucleotides in length. Their secondary structure includes four short double-helical elements and three loops (D, anti-codon, and T loops). The record is from RNAcentral. RNAcentral also lists the same sequence under 2 other names. Lineage: Bacteria; Bacillati; Actinomycetota; Actinomycetes; Kitasatosporales; Streptomycetaceae.